GUCCACGCCGUAAACGAUGGAUACUAGCUGUUGGGGGCAACUUCAGUGGCUAAGCGAAAGUGAUAAGUAUCCCACCUGGGGAGUACGUUCGCAAGAAUGAAACUCAAAGGAAUUGACGGGGGCCCGCACAAGCGGUGGAGCAUGUGGUUUAAUUCGAUGAUACGCGAGGAACCUUACCAAGGCUUAAAUGUAGAUUGACAGGACUGGAACAGUUUUUUCUUCGGACAAUUUACAAGGUGCUGCAUGGUUGUCGU
RNAcentral lists this ribosomal RNA (254 nucleotides) under uncultured bacterium. Its description in RNAcentral is "partial 16S ribosomal RNA". It matches the Rfam family "Bacterial small subunit ribosomal RNA", at positions 793 to 1055 of the family's 1533-position model. The record is from RNAcentral.